Molecule: ribosomal RNA, 446 nt
Filed under: uncultured bacterium
Lineage: Bacteria
Description: partial 16S ribosomal RNA
Rfam family: Bacterial small subunit ribosomal RNA
Source: RNAcentral
CCCAGACUCCUACGGGAGGCAGCAGUGGGGAAUAUUGCGCAAUGGGCGAAAGCCUGACGCAGCGACGCCGCGUGAGGGAUGAAGUAUUUCGGUAUGUAAAGCUCUCUCAGCAGGGAAGAAAAUGACGGUACCUGACUAAGAAGCCCCGGCUAACUACGUGCCAGCAGCCGCGGUAAUACGUAGGGGGCAAGCGUUAUCCGGAUUUACUGGGUGUAAAGGGAGCGUAGACGGCAAUGCAAGCCAGAUGUGAAAGCCCGGGGCUCAACCCCGGGACUGCUCUUGGAACUGCGUGGCUGGAGUGCAGGAGGGGCAGGCGGAAUUCCUGGUGUAGCGGUGAAAUGCGUAGAUAUCAGGAGGAACACCGGUGGCGAAGGCGGCCUGCUGGACUGCAACUGACGUUGAGGCCCGAAAGCGUGGGGAGCAAACAGGAUUAGAUACCCUCGUAA